RNAcentral lists this ribosomal RNA (253 nucleotides) under uncultured bacterium. RNAcentral's name for it is "partial 16S ribosomal RNA". It matches the Rfam family "Bacterial small subunit ribosomal RNA", at positions 524 to 776 of the family's 1533-position model. The record is from RNAcentral.
UACGUAGGGGGCUAGCGUUGUCCGGAAUCAUUGGGCGUAAAGCGCGUGUAGGCGGCCCGGUAAGUCCGCUGUGAAAGUCGGGGGCUCAACCCUCGGAUGCCGGUGGAUACUGUCGGGCUAGAGUGCGGAAGAGGCGAGUGGAAUUCCUGGUGUAGCGAUGAAAUGCGCAGAUAUCAGGAGGAACACCAAUUGCGAAGGCAGCUCGCUGGGACGUUACUGACGCUGAGACGCGAAAGCGUGGGGAGCAAACAGG